GGCUCUGUAGACCUGCUCCACAGGUAGAAAAGAAGGACCCAAUCACAAUGACCCACGGAGAGGGCCAUGAAAGGGUGCCCACCACCAAGUUCUUGUUCACUGCAUCACCGUACUUAUCUCUUAGGACUACACCUUCUAUGCAGGCUCCAAAUAACAACACACAACUGAAGUAGACUAAUGAUGUGGUGACAAUAGCAAGAAUCGUGCCAACAGGAAUGGAUUUUUGUGCAUCUUUGAG
This 238-nucleotide long non-coding RNA is filed under the name Gallus gallus (chicken). Lineage: Eukaryota; Metazoa; Chordata; Aves; Galliformes; Phasianidae. The record is from RNAcentral.